RNAcentral lists this ribosomal RNA (372 nucleotides) under uncultured organism. Its description in RNAcentral is "bacterial SSU rRNA". It matches the Rfam family "Bacterial small subunit ribosomal RNA", at positions 526 to 896 of the family's 1533-position model. The record is from RNAcentral.
CGUAGGUGGCAAGCGUUGUCCGGAAUUAUUGGGCGUAAAGCGCGCGCAGGCGGUCUUUUAAGUCUGAUGUGAAAGCCCCCGGCUCAACCGGGGAGGGUCAUUGGAAACUGGAGGACUUGAGUGCAGAAGAGAAGAGCGGAAUUCCACGUGUAGCGGUGAAAUGCGUAGAGAUGUGGAGGAACACCAGUGGCGAAGGCGGCUCUUUGGUCUGUAACUGACGCUGAGGCGCGAAAGCGUGGGGAGCAAACAGGAUUAGAUACCCUGGUAGUCCACGCCGUAAACGAUGAGUGCUAAGUGUUAGAGGGUUUCCGCCCUUUAGUGCUGCAGCAAACGCAUUAAGCACUCCGCCUGGGGAGUACGGCCGCAAGGCUG